UCUCAAGUCUAAAUUUCUGAAGUGGGGGGGAAAAGAGAAGAGAGAAAGAGCCCUUCACAAACUCAAUUGAUCCUCUUCCUUUUUCUCGCCAGCAGAUCAAACCAAAAUUGAUCAGCAGCAACAAUGUCUUCUUCAACACCAAGAAGACGCCCAAAAUCAUCACCCAAAAACCCUAAUUCCAAAUUCAUCCCAAAUCACUCUCAUUCUCCUACCUCUUCUUCGACUCUUACUUCAUUACUUGCAGAAGUUGAACCACCCCCUAAUUUACUUCCUUCAAAAUCCGAUUUUCUCAAGCUCAUUGUUGUCAUCACAAUUGCCGCUUUUGUUGCCAUUUUCUGCAACUUCUUAUCCAGCUUCAUCAAUCGCCCCUCUUUACCUUUCUGCGAUUCCGACGUCGGAGAAUACGAUGUUUCAUUGCUCGAUACAUGUGAGCCUUGUCCAAAUAAUGGAAGGUGUUACAAGGGCCAGUUGGAAUGCAUUCAAGGAUAUAGGAGGUAUGGAAAAUCAUGCAUCGAAGACGGAGAUAUCUAUGAAGCAGCUAAGAAACUUUCAGUAUGGGCAAAAGAUCAUCUGUGUGAAGCACAUGCACAUUAUAUAUGUGAUGGAACUGGGACAAUUUGGGUGUCGGAGGACAAGUUGAAGGACAUGCUGGACAAAGGAUUCCAAGGUUCUACUGCAUAUGAUAUCAAGUAUCUAUAUGCAAAAGAAAAAGCAUUGGAGGACAUUAGUGGACUGCUGGAUACGAGAACCAUUGGCAACAGGGUCAAAGAGUUUAAGUGUCCUGACAAAUUAGCUGAAAGUUACAAAUCAAUGACUUGUCGUGCUCGGCAAUGGGUAGCUAAGAAUCUUUUACUUCUCAUGGCAGUAUUUGUACUGCUUGCAGGAUCGACAUUGUUGCUGUUGAGAAUUCAAAGAAGAUGGUAUUUGACAAAAAGAGCAGAACAUCUUUACCAUCAGGUUUGUGACACACUUGAGGACAAUGCUAUAAUGUCUAGAUGCAUGGGUGACAGAGAACCCUGGUUAAUUGCCUCAAGGCUCCGAGAUCAUAUACUUACUCCCAAGGAAAGAAGAGAUCCUUUUCUAUGGAAGAUGGUUGAAGAUUUGGUGGAGUCGGAUUCUCGUUUGGACCGCUAUCCAAAGCUUGUGAAGGGUGAAUCAAAGGUGGUGUGGGAAUGGCAAGUGGAAGGUUCUUUGAGUUCUUCAAGGAAAAAGAAGGUGGAUAUUGGCAGUUUGAAUUCUGGUGCAGAUAUGAAUAAAUCAUAUGGCUAGAAGCAUCAAGUUUAAGUUGGUGAGAUACAGAGUUUAUACAUGGAUAUGAUCAUUUGGAGAUUCAACAUUUUGACAAGUUAUCUAUCGAUUUCCAGCAUAUAAAUUAAAAUGUCCUAGUACACUUGUGUCUUCUACUUGUAUGUUGUGAAGUGCUCUGUAUCAUGCAAUUGAGACAUGUUUGCAGUUGUAUGGGGAAGACUAGUCACAUGUAAUCUACAAAAGCCCCAAAAGGCUUUAGAAGUUUGUAUGAGAACAUCCAUGUUACCAGAAGAGUCUAGAGUAAAUUGUUUUGUAAUAGCUGUGCUGGAGACGAUUGAGGGGAUAACUGUAGCCAUAAUCAGGGGCUUGUUACAGCUUUCAGCAGCUACAUCUUAUCGUAACUGAUUGCUGUACAUCUUUGAGCAGCAACUGGCCAAAGAAGCAUUUUUUUCCCCUAGCAGGCGGUGUUUCUGGUCGUCAGUUAGUAGUUUUGUCUAUAAAGAUGACUGGAAAGCAAAGACAGAAUAAAGCUAGAAUUCUACAAAAUUGCAGAGACGUACACCCCCCCCCCCCCCCGGAGCAAGGAAACGUCAUAAAUUUUGCAUUUGUGUGGAAUACCAGAUUCUCAUGUAUCAACUUGUAAUUACUUCGUAUAUUUAUAUUGAAUUUCAUUUUACGAAAAAAUUCGUUGGGAAGUUUGUGGUGUUUUCAAAAUUUGUGCUUCUAGCAUCUCAUUGACAUUCUUGUGUGGAAUGGGGUGCUAUUUGCCGGCUUAUAUUGCAUGUCGCAUCUUAUUAAUGAGAUUUUGUACUUUUGUAGUUCUA
RNA transcript from Chenopodium quinoa (quinoa), 2072 nucleotides. RefSeq lists it as uncharacterized. The record is from RefSeq and is a predicted model, not a curated record. NCBI's taxonomy places the organism in Eukaryota, Viridiplantae, Streptophyta, Magnoliopsida, Caryophyllales, Amaranthaceae. The transcript is spliced from 10 exons.